Molecule: long non-coding RNA, 2508 nt
Organism: Lolium perenne
Lineage: Eukaryota; Viridiplantae; Streptophyta; Magnoliopsida; Poales; Poaceae
Source: RefSeq, a predicted model, not a curated record
CCCAGCGCCCUCCCUCCCUCCCUUCCCCUUCUCUUCUUCGCCUAGGGUUCCCGGCGGGCGGCGGGCGGCGGGCGGCGGCCGCCCCGACUACCUCUCCCCCCACAUCCCCAACGCCGCACUACUACCUCAUCGGGCCGGAUGCCGCUUUCCCCCCGCGCCGCCUGCCACCAACCCCAAACUCCUGCCAGCCACCGGCAGGCCCGCCUCCCAAGCUCCCAUGGGUCAGCUGCUGCUUUACCCCACCUCAUGUGCUCGGCCGGAGGUCGCCGGCUCCGUCUCCCAACCUCCUGCGCGUCGGCCGCCAGCGGCAGGCCCGCCUCCAAGCUCCCGCGGGUCAGCUGCCGCCCUCCCACACGGGCACACCUCAUGUGCGCGACCGGAGGUCACCAGCUCCGUCUCCCAACCUACUGCGCGUCGGCCGCCACCGGCAGAGGAUGUGUUGGUGAAAGAUGAUCACAGCCUGGAGACGAGGUUUGGUGCUCGCAACCUGGUGCAAAAGAUGGGGAGCGACACAGCUUGCAAAGCAAAGGAAUCUUGAAGAGUCACCAAAGAGAGGCAAGGAAACAGAGACGAGGAGAGACACCACUGAUUCCUACUGUUGUCUGUUUGAGGCUAAGCAUCUGCUCUUGAAUUCUCUGUUCUGAAGGUUGUGGCCUCAACAAUGUUCGGUGCAGGCUUGGAGCUCCUACAAGGGUACAUUAACAGAUAAACAACUCUACCAAAUCAAACUAUUCUUCUGUAUGAACCGCUUCAUACAUCACGACGACCUCAAUGAGUGGUUCCUGACGGAGAGUUUCCCAUGGGAUCUUGGAGCCUGAUAGUGAAUUCUGAAAUCAAUUCACUUUGAUAGUUCGAUUUACUACGGUAAUCAAAUCGCGGCUGGGUUGUAUAAUUUGGCCAGAUGAAUCGCUUCUCACUGCUACAAUUUUGAUUCGCCAGAAUAUGAUACAUAACCAUGUCCUGAUGUCCAUAUCGUUGUUGUUUACUUAAUUGAGGCAAACCACAUGGGUGUCUAUUUUAGUAGUGUGCUAUAUCCUGACCACAUGCAUCACGUCGGGCUUCUCCCUUUAUUGUUGCUCUUCCUAGGAUCGUCUCUGAUUAUAAUAUUCUGGGGUUUCUUUUAGCUGUUGCAUUCAUCUAUCGAUCCAAAUUGAAACGUGUGUAUACCAUGAUAGGAGAUCCUCGAUCAUAUACAAUGCAAAUUGACAUACACUAAAAUGUUUAUUUGCUGCAGUAAAUCUUUACUGUGUGAUAAUACAGAAAUGUUGACUACGUUUUGAGGUUAUUUUCUCAUGUUAUGUUGGUGUCACUUUACUUUCCUAGGAAUACUUUGUCCAGAUUAUUUAUAUAUAAAUAUUAUUAGUUCCAUUUUGUGAAUUACCAUGCUAGACUAAUAUUUGCCUUUCCACAACAAAUGGCUAGAGUACCUUGGUGGUUAAUGUACAUGAAGGACUAGGAUAGUAGGCCUGGUUCUAACAAAGGACCAGGUAAGGAAUGGUCAUUUUAUUUCAAAGGAACGUCUAAAUAUUGGUAUUCGGUAAAUAUAUACAUCUUUUCCAUUUCAAGGAUUUUUGCAUGAUUCCUAUCAAAUCAAAUUGUAAUUUUGUUUGUUUAGUUCGAUCGGCUCCAUAUUGUUUCCAUUUAUAUAUUGUCUUGCUGUCUAACUUACCUAUGAGAAGAUUAGCAGGUAGUAACAUCAUGUUGGUCUAAUUUGUAUUGGAUAGUUGCGCUAAGAUGGACUUGUGAUUUUUUUUUUUUACUUUUUGCUAAGUCAGUUCUUUUAGCUUUGUGUAGACUAUUAAGUGAUCAAAUACUAAAUCAGAAUAACCAGAUCUGUAUAACCAAAGAAAUGUUUUAGUUGUGCUUAAAGCAUACAUGAUUUUCUCUACCCUGGACCAUUUAGUCAUGUUUGCACACAUCUUUUGUGACUGCCAUUAUGUCCUAAUAUGUAGGGUUUUAUAUAUUUGCUCCUCAUGGUGAUGGAAAGUUAUGUAUUUUAUUGUUAAAUGGGUAUUUGUAUCACAAAACAAAUUCACUUGGCGGUGUGAAUUCCAUCAACAUGGCGCAUUUAAUAUACCAAUAUGUAAUUUUGUGCAUUUAUUGUUCUCCUUGGAUGGAUGUGAAAUGUGGCUAUUGUCGAUAGAUUUGUUACUCUGCUUGGUUGCUUUUCAGGAUUGAUUUGCUGAUUGUUGCAUAUGCAGAUACUUUGGAUCAUCUAGGUCUUUUUGUUAGGUUUCCACUUUGGUGGGCAGUUUGAUUUGUAUUACCCAAGGAGACCAAGGAAAGAGCGAGAAAGAGAUCCUUCUGAGCCAAGGAGAUGGGAAGUGAGUACAACUGGAGCAAAAAUGAAAUAAAGACAAUGUGGCCUUAGCCUAUAUAUGUUUGUCAUGUACAUGGAGUAACACCGUGUAUUCUAGAAGAAUAAAUGGCUUUUCCCAACUUCUGUGUAGGCCAAAAUUUAUAGGCUUUCUUUAUGAAUUUGGUUGUUUAGUAACAUACAACAACUUU